GGUUAAGCGACUAAGCGUACACGGUGGAUGCCCUGGCAGUCAGAGGCGAUGAAGGGCGUGCUAAUCUGCGAUAAGCGCCGGUAAGGUGAUAUGAACCGUUAUAACCGGCGAUACCCGAAUGGGGAAACCCAGUGUGAUUCGUCACACUAUCAUUAACUGAAUCCAUAGGUUAAUGAGGCGAACCGGGGGAACUGAAACAUCUAAGUACCCCGAGGAAAAGAAAUCAACCGAGAUUCCCCCAGUAGCGGCGAGCGAACGGGGAGGAGCCCAGAGCCUGAAUCAGCAUGUGUGUUAGUGGAAGCGUCUGGAAAGGCGCGCGAUACAGGGUGACAGCCCCGUACACAAAAGCGCAUAUGCUGUGAGCUCGAUGAGUAGGGCGGGACACGUGGUAUCCUGUCUGAAUAUGGGGGGACCAUCCUCCAAGGCUAAAUACUCCUGACUGACCGAUAGUGAACCAGUACCGUGAGGGAAAGGCGAAAAGAACCCCGGCGAGGGGAGUGAAAAAGAACCUGAAACCGUGUACGUACAAGCAGUGGGAGCCCCACCACUAAGCCAGUGGUGAACUCCACAUACGCAUCCUUUGCUGAGGAGACGGUUAACGGAGCGAAAGCGACGUUCAACCUCAAAAGAAGCAGAGGGGGCUUAGUGGUGGGGUGACUGCGUACCUUUUGUAUAAUGGGUCAGCGACUUAUAUUCUGUAGCAAGGUUAACCGUAUAGGGGAGCCGGAGGGAAACCGAGUCUUAACCGGGCGUUAAGUUGCAGGGUAUAGACCCGAAACCCGGUGAUCUAGCCAUGGGCAGGUUGAAGGUUGGGUAACACUAACUGGAGGACCGAACCGACUAAUGUUGAAAAAUUAGCGGAUGACCUGUGGCUGGGGGUGAAAGGCCAAUCAAACCGGGAGAUAGCUGGUUCUCCCCGAAAGCUAUUUAGGUAGCGCCUCGUGAAUUCAUCUCCGGGGGUAGAGCACUGUUUCGGCUAGGGGGCCAUCCCGGCUUACCAACCCGAUGCAAACUGCGAAUACCGGAGAAUGUUAUCACGGGAGACA
This 1046-nucleotide ribosomal RNA is filed under the name Salmonella enterica subsp. enterica serovar Typhi. RNAcentral describes it as "partial 23S ribosomal RNA". It matches the Rfam family "Bacterial large subunit ribosomal RNA", at positions 1 to 986 of the family's 2925-position model. The record is from RNAcentral. Lineage: Bacteria; Pseudomonadati; Pseudomonadota; Gammaproteobacteria; Enterobacterales; Enterobacteriaceae.